UCCAGGGUAGCCUAGUGGACAUGGCAUCUGCCCGGUAAGCGUAACACUGUGGGUUCGAUUCCCAGCCCUGGGGGUCGGUGGAA
Cordylochernes scorpioides is the source of this 83-nucleotide non-coding RNA. The record is from the annotation of a GenBank genome assembly. NCBI's taxonomy places the organism in Eukaryota, Metazoa, Arthropoda, Arachnida, Pseudoscorpiones, Chernetidae.